GCCCCCGUAGCUCAGUGGAUAGAGCGAUCCCCUCCUAAAGACGAUUGGGCACCGGAUGCCGAAAGGCGCCGCGUGAAUGGAGUCAAAUUCGGUGAACCCUGACAGCGCAUCGGCCAACAUGGCGUGCGGCUGCUGGCGAUACCGAGCCAAGCCGGUUCCAGGCAAGCAUGGGAACCGGAAGGUGUAGAGACUAGACGGCUCCGGCCUGUCGGCGACGUUGCCUCAAUGGCGAUAGCCGCCCAAGGCCAAGGUAUAGUCCAGACCACAAACAUUCAUCUGGUGGCGAAAGCCAUAGUGGUACGAAGGGAUAGGUCACACGUUCGAUCCGUGUCGGGGGCGCCA
This 342-nucleotide transfer RNA is filed under the name Herbaspirillum sp. SJZ102. Its description in RNAcentral is "tRNA-Arg". Lineage: Bacteria; Pseudomonadati; Pseudomonadota; Betaproteobacteria; Burkholderiales; Oxalobacteraceae. The record is from RNAcentral.